RNAcentral lists this small RNA (113 nucleotides) under Rhizobium metallidurans. RNAcentral's name for it is "Alphaproteobacterial ar15". It matches the Rfam family "Alphaproteobacterial ar15". The record is from Rfam by way of RNAcentral. Lineage: Bacteria; Pseudomonadati; Pseudomonadota; Alphaproteobacteria; Hyphomicrobiales; Rhizobiaceae.
AGCUGAUGCAUACGGUGGCUUUUCCUCCCAGUUCCACCGCAUUGGCUGUUCCCCUCUGGAGGUUUAGACCUUCAUACCUAUAAAGGGCCCCGAAUUUUCGGUGGCCCUCUUUU